AGUUCGAUCAUGGCUCAGAUUGAACGCUGGCGGGAUGCUACACAUGCAGUCGAACGGCAGCACGGACUUCGGUCUGGUGGCAGGUAGCAGGUAGGUGAGUAAUGUAUCAGACGUGCCUACGUAGCGGGGAUAACUACACAGCAGCUAAUACCUCAUACGCCCUUCGGGGAAAGCGGGGGACCUUCGGGCCUCACGCACUAUUAAAACGGCCGAUAUCGGAUUAGCUAGUUGGUGGGGGUAACAGCUCCGCAAGGCGACGUCCGUCGCUGGUUUGAGAGGACGACCAGCCACACUGGGACUGAGACGGCCGGAGCUCUGAGGAGGCAGCAGUGGGAAUUUUGGACAAUGGGGGAAACCCUGAUCAGCCGCCGCGUGUACGUGGCGAGGCAUGGGUUGUAAAGCACUUUUGGCAGGAAAGAAGCAGCGCAGGAUAAUACCCCGUGCAACUGACGGUACCCUUACAGAAUAAGCACCGGCUAACUACGUGCCAGCAGCCGCCGGUAAUACGUAGGGUGCAAGCGUUAAUCAGGUGCACGGGCGCAGCACGACCAUAGUUCGGUUCAAGAAGAAGAAAGAUGUAAUCCCAGAGCUUUAACUGGAACUGCAUUUUUUGCUACCGAGCUAGGUGUCAGAGGAGGUGGGAAUUCGACAUUUCGCACCGGUAAAUGCGUAGAUAUGCCGGAGGAACACCGAUGGCGAGGCAACCUCCUGGGAUAACGCUGACGCUCAUGCACGUGGGAGCAAAACGGAGUUAGAUACCCUGGCGUAAGUCCGCCUAAACGAUGUCAACUAGCUGUUGGACGUACGGGCCGUAGUACAGCGCAGCUAACGCGUGAAGUUGACCGCCUGGGGAAUACGGUCGCAGAUUAAAACUCAAAGGAAUUGACGGGGACCCGCACAAGCGGUGGAUGAUGUGGAUUAAUUCAGUUGCAACGCGAAAACCUGCCUACCCUUGACAUGUCUGGAAUCCCGAAGAGAUUUGGAGUGCUCGCAAGAGAACCGGAACUGGCAGGUGCUGCAUGGCUGUCGUCAGCUCGUGUCGUGAGAUGUUGGGUUAAAUCCAUAACGAGCAUGGCCGCCAAUCAUUAGUUGCUACGAAAGGCGCUUCUAAUGAGACUGCCGGUGACAAACCGGAGAAGGGUGGGGAUGACGUCAAGUCCUCGCCAGCCUCUGGGUAGAACUACGUGUAAUGGUCGGGACAGAGGGUCGCCAACCCGCGAGGCCAAUCCCGAAACCCGAUCGUAGUCGGAUCAGUCUGCAACUCGACUGCGUGAAGUCGGAAUCGCUGGCGUAAUCGCGAGAUCAGCAUGUCGCAGUGAAUACGUUCCCGGGUCUUGUACACACCGCCCGUCACACCAUGGGAGUGGGUUUUACCAGAAGUAGUUAGCUAACCGUAAGGAGGGCGAUUACCACGGUAGGAUUCAUGACUGAAGGUGAAGUCGUAACAAAUUAA
RNAcentral lists this ribosomal RNA (1453 nucleotides) under uncultured Bordetella sp. Its description in RNAcentral is "partial 16S-23S ribosomal RNA intergenic spacer". It matches the Rfam family "Bacterial small subunit ribosomal RNA". The record is from RNAcentral. Lineage: Bacteria; Pseudomonadati; Pseudomonadota; Betaproteobacteria; Burkholderiales; Alcaligenaceae.